This 105-nucleotide small nuclear RNA is filed under the name Rhipicephalus sanguineus (brown dog tick). Lineage: Eukaryota; Metazoa; Arthropoda; Arachnida; Ixodida; Ixodidae. The record is from RNAcentral.
GCACUUCCCAAGUACAUAUACAAAAAAACUGUAACGAUACAGACAACCUUAGCGAGGUCCCUGCGCCAUGAUGACGUGCUAAAUCGUGAAGCGUUCCACAUGGCG